RNAcentral lists this microRNA (21 nucleotides) under Prunus persica (peach). Its description in RNAcentral is "ppe-miR6272". Lineage: Eukaryota; Viridiplantae; Streptophyta; Magnoliopsida; Rosales; Rosaceae. The record is from miRBase by way of RNAcentral.
UAGCUGUAAAUGAGUGUUUUU